This 484-nucleotide ribosomal RNA is filed under the name uncultured bacterium. Its description in RNAcentral is "partial 16S ribosomal RNA". It matches the Rfam family "Bacterial small subunit ribosomal RNA", at positions 30 to 507 of the family's 1533-position model. The record is from RNAcentral.
AUUGAACGCUGGCGGCAGGCCUAACACAUGCAAGUCGAGCGGAUGAAGGGAGCUUGCUCCUGGAUUCAGCGGCGGACGGGUGAGUAAUGCCUAGGAAUCUGCCUGGUAGUGGGGGAUAACGUCCGGAAACGGGCGCUAAUACCGCAUACGUCCUGAGGGAGAAAGUGGGGGAUCUUCGGACCUCACGCUAUCAGAUGAGCCUAGGUCGGAUUAGCUAGUUGGUGGGGUAAAGGCCUACCAAGGCGACGAUCCGUAACUGGUCUGCGAGGAUGAUCAGUCACACUGGAACUGAGACACGGUCCAGACUCCUACGGGAGGCAGCAGUGGGGAAUAUUGGACAAUGGGCGAAAGCCUGAUCCAGCCAUGCCGCGUGUGUGAAGAAGGUCUUCGGAUUGUAAAGCACUUUAAGUUGGGAGGAAGGGCAGUAAGUUAAUACCUUGCUGUUUUGACGUUACCAACAGAAUAAGCACCGGCUAACUUCGUG